RNAcentral lists this ribosomal RNA (211 nucleotides) under Lomentospora prolificans. RNAcentral describes it as "Scedosporium prolificans Eukaryotic small subunit ribosomal RNA". It matches the Rfam family "Eukaryotic small subunit ribosomal RNA", at positions 1 to 215 of the family's 1831-position model. The record is from Rfam by way of RNAcentral. Lineage: Eukaryota; Fungi; Ascomycota; Sordariomycetes; Microascales; Microascaceae.
UACCUGGUUGAUCCUGCCAGUAGUCAUAUGCUUGUCUCAAAGAUUAAGCCAUGCAUGUCUAAGUAUAAGCAAUUAUACCGCGAAACUGCGAAUGGCUCAUUAUAUAAGUUAUCGUUUAUUUGAUAGCACAUUACUACAUGGAUAACUGUGGUAAUUCUAGAGCUAAUACAUGCUAAAAAUCCCGACUUCGGAAGGGAUGUAUUUAUUAGAU